UACAGGUUUAGAAAAACGACCAACCCGGGGCACCAGGGGGCGCUGCGGAUCCUGGUUCUGGACCCUCCCUGGUACCCAUCCCCUGGGCAGGGCUCAAGUGCAAAGGGCAUGACUGGUGCUUCCUUGAACACACUUCUCUUGGGGAAAAUGUCUGUCCCUCUGAAACCCGCACGUGGCCCUGUGUCUGACCCCGGGGAAUCCCCAGAGUGAGGCCCUGGGCUCAGGGCUGAGACAGGAGCUGAGACCCAGGACGGGGGCGGGGACUUGAUUGGCAUGCACUGCCCUCCUGGAGCUGCAGGGGAGAGGAUCAAACGGGGGCCUGGAGAGGCCAGUCCAGCUGGGCAGCCUCAGGGCAGAGGUCAGGACGCGCCUCCCACCACGGCCUGGGUCCUCUUCUACCUGCUGUCGCUGCUGAUCAACACAGGGCUCUGUGCUCGGCCUGUGCUGACCCAGUCCCCGUCUGCGGCCUCCUCCCUGGGAGGCUCGGCCACGCUCACCUGCACCCUGAGCAGUGAGCAUAGCACGCACUUCAUUCAGUGGUAUCAGCAGAGCCCUGGGCAGGCCCCUCGGUAUCUGAUGAAACUGACCAGUGACGGAGAAGUCACCAGAGGGGACGGGAUUCCCGGCCGCUUCUCCGGCUCCAGCUCCGGGGCUGAGCGCUACCUGACCAUCAGCAGCCUCCAGUCUGAUGACGAGGCUGAUUACAUCUGUGGUGUCAGCUAUAAUGAUGGUGGCCAGAGUGGGUACCACAGUGACACAGACAAAGAGGAA
Odocoileus virginianus texanus is the source of this 771-nucleotide non-coding RNA. The record is from the annotation of a RefSeq genome assembly. NCBI's taxonomy places the organism in Eukaryota, Metazoa, Chordata, Mammalia, Artiodactyla, Cervidae.